This 763-nucleotide ribosomal RNA is filed under the name uncultured bacterium. RNAcentral's name for it is "bacterial SSU rRNA". It matches the Rfam family "Bacterial small subunit ribosomal RNA", at positions 62 to 822 of the family's 1533-position model. The record is from RNAcentral.
UCGAGGGGCAGCGCGGGUAGCAAUACCUGGCGGCGACCGGCGCAAGGGUGCGUAACGCGUGAGCAAUCUGCCCGUGUCAGGGGGAUAAGCGAUGGAAACGUCGUCUAAUACCGCAUAACAACGGCCAUGGCAUCAUGGAUGUUUGAAAGAUACGUCGGACACGGAUGAGCUCGCGAGACAUUAGCUAGUUGGCGGGGUAACGGCCCACCAAGGCUGCGAUGUCUAGGGGAACUGAGAGGUUGGUCCCCCUCACUGGAACUGAGACACGGUCCAGACUCCUACGGGAGGCAGCAGUGAGGAAUAUUGGACAAUGGUCGGAAGACUGAUCCAGCCAUGCCGCGUGGAGGUUAAGGUCCUAUGGAUUGUAAACUCCUUUUGAGAGGGAGCAAUAAGUGUCACGUGUGACACGAUGAGAGUACCUUUCGAAUAAGCAUCGGCUAACUCCGUGCCAGCAGCCGCGGUAAUACGGAGGAUGCGAGCGUUAUCCGGAUUUAUUGGGUUUAAAGGGUGCGUAGGCGGUUUUGCAAGUCAGCGGUGAAACGCACGGGCUUAACCUGUGACCUGCCGUUGAAACUGCGGGACUGGAAUGCGGAUGCUGUGGGAGGAAUGUGUGGUGUAGCGGUGAAAUGCAUAGAUAUCACACAGAACACCGAUUGCGAAGGCAUCUCACAAAUCCGUGAUUGACGCUGAGGCACGAAAGUGUGGGGAUCAAACAGGAUUAGAUACCCUGGUAGUCCACACUGUAAACGAUGAUAACUCGCUG